Molecule: ribosomal RNA, 301 nt
Filed under: uncultured bacterium
Lineage: Bacteria
Description: partial 16S ribosomal RNA
Rfam family: Bacterial small subunit ribosomal RNA
Source: RNAcentral
CAGCAGCCGCGGGAAUACGUAGGGUGCAAGCGUUAAUCAGAAUUACUGGGCGUAAAGCGUGCGCAGGCGGUUAUAUAAGUCAGAUGUGAAAUCCCCGGGCUCAACCUGGGAACUGCAUUUGAGACUGUAUGGCUAGAGUGUGUCAGAGGGGGGUAGAAUUCCACGUGUAGCAGUGAAAUGCGUAGAUAUGUGGAGGAAUACCGAUGGCGAAGGCAGCCCCCUGGGAUAACACUGACGCUCAUGCACGAAAGCGUGGGGAGCAAACAGGAUUAGAUACCCGUGUAGUCCCUGUCUCUUAUAC